AUAUAACCAAAGAGUUAUUAUUAUUUAUAAACGUAAUUUCCAUUUAAAUUCCAUUAUGUUUAAUUCCUAUCUACAGAGUAAAAUAUUUUAAAUAUGUUUAUUGUAAUAAACUGUUAUAAUAUAGAAGGCAAUUCUAUGUUAGGAAUACUAUAUUGUAAAAGAAUUGUAAUGUUGUACAACCAGUGGCAUACCCAAAAGGGAGCAAGAAGAGUGGUCCACUUGGGCACCAAGCUGAAUGGGGCCAAGAGCAUGGAAUAUAUAAUAUCAUUACUAUUCAUCAGAUAUUUAUAUAAAAAUUUCUGUAUCAUUUUCAGUUCUU
This 319-nucleotide long non-coding RNA is filed under the name Androctonus crassicauda. The record is from RNAcentral. Lineage: Eukaryota; Metazoa; Arthropoda; Arachnida; Scorpiones; Buthidae.